Parus major (Great Tit) is the source of this 576-nucleotide long non-coding RNA. RefSeq lists it as uncharacterized. Lineage: Eukaryota; Metazoa; Chordata; Aves; Passeriformes; Paridae. The transcript has 3 exons. The record is from RefSeq and is a predicted model, not a curated record.
GCCUCUGGCCACCCAAAUUUAUUGCACUUCAACUCAUCCAUGUGCUUCAUGCUCUGGUAACACUUCACUGCCCAUACUGGUCCCUGUAUGCCACCAAACUUUAAGGAUGGGUGAAGAAAAUUAAAUGUCUAUGAGGAACUGUUCAAAGCUUCCAGGCUGCUGAGGUCUUUUAGGAGUGAUAUUGCAGCACUGCUGAAUGAAAAUAAAACAUUGCUCAAUGGUUCAUAUGGCACUCAGAUGUCACAACAAUAAUGCUGUACAGGAAGGAGAAUAAAAUAAUUGUGAGAACUCAGAACUUUGCUUUUCCAAAAGAGGAAAGUAUGAUUUUUGUGUGUUUUAUCAUGUUCCACUGCAGACUCUUGAUUGAAUUUUUGCUGGGAUAGAACCUGGAUACAAAUAAGUUUGCAGGCUAUUGAUAGUUAUCCAAAUAUUGCUGGAAAGAAGAUCCUUUCUUGGCUCUGUAUCAGCUAUAUAGUACAUAAAUACUGUAGUUAUUAGCAGAAAAUGUGUUCUCUGAUUGGCCAAUUCAGAAUAGGCGAAAGAUUGAACAAUUAUUUAUUUUGUUGAAAUUUUACA